This 305-nucleotide ribosomal RNA is filed under the name uncultured bacterium. RNAcentral describes it as "bacterial SSU rRNA". It matches the Rfam family "Bacterial small subunit ribosomal RNA", at positions 338 to 640 of the family's 1533-position model. The record is from RNAcentral.
CCUACGGGAGGCAGCAGUGAGGAAUAUUGGUCAAUGGGCUUACGCCUGAACCAGCCAAGUCGCGUGAGGGAAGACUGCCCUAUGGGUUGUAAACCUCUUUUGUCAGGGAGCAACGCCGGCUACGUGUAGCCGGACUGAGAGUACCUGAAGAAAAAGCAUCGGCUAACUCCGUGCCAGCAGCCGCGGUAAUACGGAGGAUGCGAGCGUUAUCCGGAUUUAUUGGGUUUAAAGGGUGCGCAGGCGGAUUUUUAAGUCAGCGGUCAAAUCGUGGGGCUCAACCCCAUCCAGCCGUUGAAACUGGGGAU